ACAUAUCAAUAAGCGGAGGAAAAGAAACCAACCGGGAUUGCCCUAGUAACGGCGAGUGAAGCGGCAAGAGCUCAAAUUUGAAAGCUGGCCCCCUCGGGGUCCGCAUUGUAAUUUGCAGAGGAUGCUUCGGGAACGGCCCCCAUCUAAGUGCCCUGGAACGGGCCGUCAUAGAGGGUGAGAAUCCCGUCUGGGAUGGGGUGGCCGCGCCCGUGUGAAGCUCCUUCGACGAGUCGAGUUGUUUGGGAAUGCAGCUCUAAUUGGGUGGUAAAUUUCAUCUAAAGCUAAAUAUUGGCCGGAGACCGAUAGCGCACAAGUAGAGUGAUCGAAAGAUGAAAAGCACUUUGAAAAGAGAGUUAAACAGCACGUGAAAUUGUUGAAAGGGAAGCGCUUGCGACCAGACUCGCCCGCGGGGUUCAGCCGGCACUCGUGCCGGUGUACUUCCCCGCGGGCGGGCCAGCGUCGGUUUGGGCGGCCGGUCAAAGGCCUCUGGAAGGUAACGCCUCUCGGGGCGUCUUAUAGCCAGGGGUGCCAUGCGGCCUGCCCGGACCGAGGAACGCGCUUCGGCUCGGACGCUGGCAUAAUGGUCGUAAGCGACCCGUCUUGAAACACGGACCAAGGAGUCUAACAUCUACGCGAGUGUUCGGGUGUCAAACCCGUGCGCGCAGUGAAAGCGAACGGAGGUGGGAACCCCCCGGGGUGCACCAUCGACCGAUCCUGAUGUCUUCGGAUGGAUUUGAGUAAGAGCGUAGCUGUUGGGACCCGAAAGAUGGUGAACUAUGCCUGAAUAGGGCGAAGCCAGAGGAAACUCUGGUGGAGGCUCGCAGCGGUUCUGACGUGCAAAUCGAUCGUCAAAUUUGGGUAUAGGGGCGAAAGACUAAUCGAACCAUCUAGUAGCUGGUUCCUGCCGA
Molecule: ribosomal RNA, 908 nt
Filed under: Penicillium citrinum
Lineage: Eukaryota; Fungi; Ascomycota; Eurotiomycetes; Eurotiales; Aspergillaceae
Description: LSU rRNA
Rfam family: Eukaryotic large subunit ribosomal RNA
Source: RNAcentral